CCUACGGGAGGCAGCAGUGAGGAAUAUUGGUCAAUGGACGAGAGUCUGAACCAGCCAAGUAGCGUGAAGGAUGACUGCCCUAUGGGUUGUAAACUUCUUUUAUAUGGGAAUAAAAUGUUCCACGUGUGGGAGCUUGUAUGUACCAUAUGAAUAAGGAUCGGCUAACUCCGUGCCAGCCGCAGCGGUAAUACGGAGGAUCCGAGCGUUAUCCGGAUUUAUUGGGUUUAAAGGGAGCGUAGGUGGAUUGUUAAGUCAGUUGUGAAAGUUUGCGGCUCAACCGUAAAAUUGCAGUUGAAACUGGCAGUCGUGAGUACAGUAGAGGUGGGCGGAAUUCGUGGUGUAGCGGUGAAAUGCUUAGAUAUAACGAAGAACUCCGAUUGCGAAGGCAGUUCACUGGUCUGCAACUGACGCUGAGGCUCGAAAGUGUGGGUAUCAAACAGGAUUAGAUACCCCAGUAGUC
Molecule: ribosomal RNA, 460 nt
Filed under: uncultured bacterium
Lineage: Bacteria
Description: partial 16S ribosomal RNA
Rfam family: Bacterial small subunit ribosomal RNA
Source: RNAcentral